AAGGAUCAUUAGCUCGUUCUCUGCAACUCCCAACCCUGUGAACCAUACCCAUUCUGUUCUCGUUGCUUUCUGGCGGGCGGCCGCCCCCCCCUCCCCGGAGGGGGGGUGCUGGGCCUGCCCGCCAGGGGCGGCCUGCACGAACCUUCUAAAUUUUUUUACCUGACCGUCUGAGCACACGAUUUUUACAAAUCAAAUCACAACUUUCAACAACGGAUCUCUUGGCUCUGGCAUCGAUGAAGAACGCAGCGAAAUGCGAUAAGUAAUGCGAAUUGCAGAAUUCAGCGAGUCAUCGAAUCUUUGAACGCACAUUGCGCCUGCCAGCAUUCUGGCAGGCAUGCCUGUCCGAGCGUCAUUUCCACCCUCACGCGCCCUGUGGCGCGUGGUGUUGGGGCCUGCUCUCCCUGCCCUGGUGCGGGAGAGGCCCUGAAAGCGAGUGGCGGGCCGCCUGGUCUGGCUCCGAGCGCAGUAGAAACGCACCGUUUUUCCCCUCGCUCUGGACGCCGCCGGCGCGCCCUGCCGUCAAAACCCGCACGCGCAGCGUGCACACCUCACAAGGUUGACCUCGGAUCAGGUAGGACUACCCGCUGAACUUAAGCAUAUCAAUAAGCGGAGGA
RNAcentral lists this ribosomal RNA (614 nucleotides) under Chaetothyriales sp. AR-2010. RNAcentral's name for it is "eukaryotic LSU rRNA". The stretch from base 199 to 352 matches the Rfam family "5.8S ribosomal RNA". The record is from RNAcentral. Lineage: Eukaryota; Fungi; Ascomycota; Eurotiomycetes; Chaetothyriales.